RNAcentral lists this transfer RNA (72 nucleotides) under Dipodomys ordii (Ord's kangaroo rat). It matches the Rfam family "tRNA". Rfam says of the family: Transfer RNA (tRNA) molecules are approximately 80 nucleotides in length. Their secondary structure includes four short double-helical elements and three loops (D, anti-codon, and T loops). Lineage: Eukaryota; Metazoa; Chordata; Mammalia; Rodentia; Heteromyidae. The record is from Rfam by way of RNAcentral.
GGGAUGGUGGCUCAGUAGUAGAACGCUUGCCUUGCAUGCAUGAGGCCCUGGGUUCGAUUCCCCAGCAUCACA